RNAcentral lists this ribosomal RNA (437 nucleotides) under uncultured bacterium. RNAcentral describes it as "partial 16S ribosomal RNA". It matches the Rfam family "Bacterial small subunit ribosomal RNA", at positions 341 to 792 of the family's 1533-position model. The record is from RNAcentral.
ACGGGAGGCAGCAGUGGGGAAUAUUGGGCAAUGGGCGCAAGCCUGACCCAGCAACGCCGCGUGAGGGAUGAAGGUUUUCGGAUUGUAAACCUCUGUCCUUGGUGACGAAUGAAAUGACGGUAGCCAAGGAGGAAGCCCCGGCUAACUACGUGCCAGCAGCCGCGGUAAUACGUAGGGGGCAAGCGUUGUCCGGAAUGACUGGGCGUAAAGGGCGUGUAGGCGGCAUUGUAAGUCCGGAGUGAAAGUCCUGGUUUAAAGGGGGGAAUUGCUUUGGAGACUGCAAAGCUUGAGUACAGAAGAGGGAAGCGGAAUUCCCGGUGUAGUGGUGAAAUGCGUAGAGAUCGGGAGGAACACCAGUGGAGAAGGCGGCUUACUGGGCUGUAACUGACGCUGAGGCGCGAAAGCGUGGGGAGCAAACAGGAUUAGAUACCCUGGUA